CGCGUAGGCGGCCUGUGCAAGUCAGUUGUGAAAUCUCCGGGCUUAACUCGGAACGGUCAACUGAUACUGCUCGGCUAGAGUGCAGAAGGGGCAACUGGAAUUCUUGGUGUAGCGGUGAAAUGCGUAGAUAUCAAGAGGAACACCUGCGGCGAAGGCGGGUUGCUGGGCUGACACUGACGCUGAAGUGCGAAAGCUAGGGGAGCGAACG
RNAcentral lists this ribosomal RNA (208 nucleotides) under uncultured bacterium. Its description in RNAcentral is "partial 16S ribosomal RNA". It matches the Rfam family "Bacterial small subunit ribosomal RNA", at positions 568 to 774 of the family's 1533-position model. The record is from RNAcentral.